AUUGAACGCUGGCGGCAUGCCUUACACAUGCAAGUCGAACGGUAACGGGCCUUCGGGUGCCGACGAGUGGCGAACGGGUGAGUAAUGUACCGGAACGUACCUUUCAGUGGGGGAUAACGUAGCGAAAGUUACGCUAAUACCGCAUAUUCUGUGCGCAGGAAAGCAGGGGAUCGCAAGACCUUGCGCUAAUUGAGCGGCCGAUAUCAGAUUAGCUAGUUGGUGAGGUAAAGGCUCACCAAGGCGACGAUCUGUAGCGGGUCUGAGAGGAUGAUCCGCCACACUGGAACUGAGACACGGUCCAGACUCCUACGGGAGGCAGCAGUGGGGAAUUUUGGACAAUGGGGGCAACCCUGAUCCAGCCAUGCCGCGUGAGUGAAGAAGGCCUUCGGGUUGUAAAGCUCUUUCGGCCGGGAAGAAAUCGCAUGGGCUAAUACCCUGUGCGGAUGACGGUACCGGCAUAAGAAGCACCGGCUAACUACGUGCCAGCAGCCGCAGUAA
This 498-nucleotide ribosomal RNA is filed under the name uncultured bacterium. RNAcentral's name for it is "partial 16S ribosomal RNA". It matches the Rfam family "Bacterial small subunit ribosomal RNA", at positions 30 to 523 of the family's 1533-position model. The record is from RNAcentral.